Branchiostoma floridae (Florida lancelet) is the source of this 3163-nucleotide RNA transcript. It is a transcript of the gene named F-box only protein 36-like, with no coding region annotated. The transcript is spliced from 5 exons. The record is from RefSeq and is a predicted model, not a curated record. NCBI's taxonomy places the organism in Eukaryota, Metazoa, Chordata, Leptocardii, Amphioxiformes, Branchiostomatidae.
GCUGACCCAGAUAAAUGGACAUACGUAGCACUUUCACAAAGACGCACCAUUUUCGGCUUCUACGUCCAUUCUGAGACCAAAAUGCCCCACAAAAACAUAGUGAAGAAAACUAGGCAUGUACACCUACAAUUCUAGAUCCGUAGAACCCGUCAAAAUGCUGAAAAUGGGUGAUUGUGUCGGCACAAUUGUCAAGGGUUCUUCCGCUUCAGACAGCCUCUCUCUCUCUCUCUCUCUUUCUGUCACAUCAGGCCUGCUUGCACCCUUUAUAUCAUCGCUCAUUGGGAACUACUUUCACGGAAUUAUAAGCCGAUAAGAUCAUCUAAAUGCAUCGCAGAUAUCACCUCAUAAUACUGCUACUUAGAUUUCCCUGCAAACCGCUCCUUGAGGUUAAAAUUUGGCCAGAACUGGACGGAAUUGCAGGCGAUUGUCGAAGAUCAAUUUUCCGGUUCCCUGCGAUACCCCCUUUGACGAACCCGGAUCAAUCCGCGGCCCUUAUUAUCAUAUCCUUUGGGCCAACAUGGCACAUUCCUGUCAAAUUAUGCUCCUCGAAAUCCCCCCUUUUUAAAAAUCAUCGAUCGGGCUCAUCAUUUCCUCUAUUUUAGAGAGAAAUGUAACUUUUUCUGGUACCUACCAUCGAACUUGACGAACAUCAGAGAUGGUACAAAACGCGCAAAGCCUGCUGGGAUGAGGAACCUUUGCCUAAAACUCAUUUCUGUACCUAAAACAAAUAAAUUAAAUUUCUUUUAAAAAGAAAAGCUUAAAAUUCAUUAAUUAUAGAAAAAGAAAAAGAUUUUGAUAUCAUUUUGAUGUAAUAAUUGCGUGCAGAAGUCUCGACGUUUCUCGCGCAUGACGUGAGAUGGCAACCAGUAUGGCGUCCUUAGUGAGAGAUGGAGUGCUGCUGGAGAUAGCAGACCAAGCUCCCGCGCCUUCCAAGGACUACUGCCAGCUCCUUAUCACCACUAAGGAGGUUGUCUGGCGCUGGUGGAGGAUCACUCUGAGGAAGGGGGAUGAGCGCAGGUGUUUCCCAGGGGAGACCAGAGAAUCACACGAUGACUUCCUGAAUGACGAAGUGAUCCAAGGGGAUGUGCGGAGGGUGUUCGGAGAGCCUACGCUGGAACAUGCCCUGGGGUUGUGCCGCGGGCACGUUGAUUUCAUCACACGUGUGCCGAAGCCCAUGCUGAUCUUCCUGGUGUCGUACCUGGAGCUGGAGGACAUCUCUCAGCUGGCACAGACCAACAAGCUGUUCAGAGAGGUAAGACAUGUGUCAAUCAAAUCAGGCACAGACCAACAAGCUGUUCAGAGAGGUGAGACAUGUGUCAAUCAAAUCAGGCACAGACCAACAAGCUGUUCAGAGAGAUCUGUAACUCGGACGAGCUGUGGGAGCACGUGUACGAGCGCCACUGUGAGAACGUGACAGAGGAGAUGCGAGACCUGGCUAAAGAUGUGGGCUGGAAGAGUAUGUUCUUCACUAACAAGCUGCAGCUGCAGGUGCAGCUGCGCAGACAGAGGGGCCGCAGGGAGGAUGCAGGUGACAGCCCCACUCCUGUCCACUAGCGAAAACAUUCCUAACUGCAGGCUCACAAUCAUUCCAAUACACUAAGAUGUUAUCAUUUGUAAAGUCAUGUUAUGCAAUGGGGAUAAACAUCUUUAAAUGUUCUCCAACUUUCUAUGAUUUUGGAUGUUGUACAGUUUUGUUACGAAAGUGUUGGAGUCAGAGUAGUACUGUACAUGUAUGUGUUCAUGGAUGUUUAGCUCUUUGAAAGUUCCAGUGAGGAAUUUGUCUUAUUAAAUACAGGUGCCACAUGUUAACUUUCUAGUGUUCUACAUGUUCGUAGUAAUUUGUAUUUACAAACUACCAAAAUUGGUGUCCAGUACAAGUACAGCUCUAUAGCACUAGUAAGGGUAACGAAAAAUUACAAACAAAAGGAUUGAGGAAUUUGAUGGAGCUCCUGGUUUCUAGCAAGGGUUUUAGAUAAUGUUUCAUAAUGGUAAAUUCAAGGUUGAGCUAGAACUGACCUAUCGGCAAUGGUUUGGAAUGGAGGUCUUGGCAGUUUAACAGUGAGAUUUUGAAAAUGCAGACAAUCAGUGGGCACCAAUGGGGGGAUGAAUUCUUUUCAGACCAUAUGUAAAAUUAGAAUUUUUUCUCAGUUUGGAAGGUCAUACCAACAAUUCUCACAUUUUAUCUAACAUUAGUACCAUUCCACGUUGAAAAUAAGUGUAAUGGUCUUCAAUUUACCAUGGUGGUAACGAAUAAUAGCAUGAUGGCCUGUUAAUGCUAAAAUGCACUAGCUAAAACCCUGAGCUCUGUCUCUUUAUGACCUUUCGAAUUUGUACUUGGUUUUUCAAUGGUGAAUUAGCAAAUGUCUAGCUUUGUUACAUAAACUGCAGAAGCAAAAGAGAAUAUACAAGAACAAUAGUUAAUGUUGUGUAAUGACUAAUAAAUGUGUUGGGUGCAGCUAUUACUAACAGUAUGUUUUGAUGCAAACAGUUUAACUUCAUGAUCUACUCAGAACUGAAUGUGGAAGUAAUUUUUUUGCCUUUUUCGUUCAGAUUGAUAAAACCUAAAAUUGUACAGUUUUUUCCUUGCUGCUUUUAUUUUUAAUAUGUUAGUGUUUUGUGCAGUUUUGUUGAAAUGACCUUUGUGCUAUGACUAUAUGAUUGGAUGUAUUGUAUAUUAUACUGUUUUUCUUAGCGAAAUUGUAUGUUGACCACAAUCAGUUAGCAUCAAUAUGCUCAGAUUUCUAUUAAGCAAGCAAGGCAACCAUUUUCUUUUUGAUUCAGUGAAAACUUUACAAGAGGUAACUGAAACAAUGCAUUUUAUUUCAUACAUAAUAGAACUCUAUGAAUUCAAAAUUAUGUUAUUCGGUGUAAAAAGAUGUGUGAAUAUCAAUUGUAUUACACUUAAUGACUGUGAAAACAAUAAUAUGGACCAAAGCAUACCAACAAUGGCCUUACCAGAAUAUUUUAUGGUAUUAUAUGCAGUAAUUCAAACAAAUUCUCCAAGAAGUGCAGUCUGUUAGGUUAAGAACUAGAUAAACUUGAACAUUUCUUGUUCAUUCUCUUGUAUUUUUCUAUGUACAAUGAUGAUGUUGUUAAACAGUUUUGGUGAUGUUUAUAAUUGUGUGAUGAGUACAUAUAAAUAUACCAGAAUGUGGUGCCUUCA